Molecule: ribosomal RNA, 261 nt
Filed under: uncultured Methanogenium sp.
Lineage: Archaea; Methanobacteriati; Methanobacteriota; Methanomicrobia; Methanomicrobiales; Methanomicrobiaceae
Description: partial 16S ribosomal RNA
Rfam family: Archaeal small subunit ribosomal RNA
Source: RNAcentral
CUUAGGAUGGAUCUGCGGUCGUUUAGGUUGUUGUUGGGGUAACGGCCCAACAAGCCUGUAAUCGAUACGGGUUGUGGGAGCAAGAGCCCGGAGAUGGAAUCUGAGACACGAUUCCAGGCCCUACGGGGCGCAGCAGGCGCGAAAACUUUACAAUGCAGGAAACUGUGAUAAGGGAACCCCGAGUGCCCGUAUACGCGGGCUGUCCAGGUGUUUAAAACGCAUCUGAAGAAAGGGCCGGGCAAGACCGGUGCCAGCCGCCGC